RNAcentral lists this ribosomal RNA (253 nucleotides) under uncultured bacterium. RNAcentral's name for it is "partial 16S ribosomal RNA". It matches the Rfam family "Bacterial small subunit ribosomal RNA", at positions 524 to 776 of the family's 1533-position model. The record is from RNAcentral.
UACGGAGGGAGCUAGCGUUGUCCGGAAUUAUUGGGCGUAAAGAGCUCGUAGGCGGUUUGUUGCGUCGGCUGUGAAAUCCCGAGGCUCAACCUCGGGUCUGCAGUCGAUACGAGCAAACUAGAGUGUUGCAGGGGAGACUGGAAUUCCGGGUGUAGCGGUGAAAUGCGUAGAUAUCCGGAGGAACACCGGUGGCGAAGGCGGGUCUCUGGGCCGAUACUGACGCUGAGGAGCGAAAGCGUGGGGAGCAAACAGG